This 465-nucleotide ribosomal RNA is filed under the name uncultured bacterium. RNAcentral describes it as "partial 16S ribosomal RNA". It matches the Rfam family "Bacterial small subunit ribosomal RNA", at positions 338 to 795 of the family's 1533-position model. The record is from RNAcentral.
CCUACGUGAGGCAGCAGUGGGGAAUAUUGCGCAAUGGGCGAAAGCCUGACGCAGCGACGCCGCGUGAGGGAUGAAGGUCUUCGGAUUGUAAACCUCUGUCAGCAGGGAAGAACGGUCACUGUGCUAAUCAGCAGUGAAUUGACGGUACCUGCAAAGGAAGCACCGGCUAACUCCGUGCCAGCAGCCGCGGUAAUACGGAGGGUGCGAGCGUUAAUCGGAAUUACUGGGCGUAAAGCGCUCGUAGGCGGUAUGUCAAGUCAAGGGUGAAAUCCCCGCGCUCAACGUGGGAACUGCCUUUGAAACUGGCAAACUGGAGUGUGUGAGAGGAUAGUGGAAUUCCAGGUGUAGGAGUGAAAUCCGUAGAUAUCUGGAGGAACAUCAGUGGCGAAGGCGACUAUCUGGCACAUAACUGACGCUGAGGAGCGAAAGCGUGGGUAGCAAACAGGAUUAGAUACCCCAGUAGUC